GAUGAACGCUGGCGGCGUGCCUAAUACAUGCAAGUCGAGCGAACAGAUGAGGAGCUUGCUCCUCUGACGUUAGCGGCGGACGGGUGAGUAACACGUGGAUAACCUACCUAUAAGACUGGGAUAACUUCGGGAAACCGGAGCUACUACCGGAUAAUAUAUUGAACCGCUUGGUUCAAUAGUGAAAGACGGUUUUGCUGUCACUUAUAGAUGGAUCCGCGCCGCAUUAGCUAGUUGGUAAGGUAACGGCCUACCAAGGCAACGAUGCGUAGCCGACCUGAGAGGGUGAUCGGCCACACUGGAACUGAGACACGGUCCAGACUCCUACGGGAGGCAGCAGUAGGGAAUCUUCCGCAAUGGGCGAAAGCCUGACGGAGCAACGCCGCGUGAGUGAUGAAGGUCUUCGGAUCGUAAAACUCUGUUAUUAGGGAAGAACAAAUGUGUAAGUAACUAUGCACGUCUUGACGGUACCUAAUCAGAAAGCCACGGCUAACUACGUG
RNAcentral lists this ribosomal RNA (497 nucleotides) under uncultured bacterium. Its description in RNAcentral is "partial 16S ribosomal RNA". It matches the Rfam family "Bacterial small subunit ribosomal RNA", at positions 28 to 507 of the family's 1533-position model. The record is from RNAcentral.